RNAcentral lists this ribosomal RNA (396 nucleotides) under uncultured bacterium. RNAcentral describes it as "bacterial SSU rRNA". It matches the Rfam family "Bacterial small subunit ribosomal RNA", at positions 29 to 417 of the family's 1533-position model. The record is from RNAcentral.
AGUGAACGCUGGCGGCGUGUUUUAGGCAUGCAAGUCGAACGCGAAAGCAGCAAUGCGUGUAGCGUGGCGAAAGGGCGAGUAAUGCGUGGGUAAUUUACCUUAAGGAUUGGACUAACCAUUGGAAACGAUGGAUAAUGCCAAAUGGUCCGGACCGGCGGCAUCGCUGGUCCGGUAAACGGUCGGUUUCGGCCCUCUGCCUUGAGAGAAGUUCACGUCCUAUCAGCUAGUUGGCGGGGUAACGGCCCACCAAGGCAAUGACGGGUAGCCGGACUGAGAGGUUGGCCGGCCGCACUGGGACUGAGAUACUGCCCAGACUCCUACGGGAGGCUGCAGUCGAGAAUCUUCCGCAAUGGGCGAAAGCCUGACGGGGCGACGCCGCGUGUAGGAUGAAGGCCU